UUCAAUUAUCAACCAUACUCGGUAGCCGGAGAUCACAUCGAACACCUUCGGAUACAGAGCUCACAUAGCAGAGACGGAGACGCAUGUUAAAAAGUAGUACUACUACCCCCAUGAAAUUCUAGUGCCGCUAGUUUCCCAUCAACUCUACAUGAAAUUCUUAAAACGAAACAACUAUAGUACCUGAACAUAGAAAAAAGGAAAAGGAUCUGGGCAAAGUAACCACCACCACCACCACUUGCUAUGUCCAAAAGCAUGGGCUCGUCGCCGCCGGGUCGCGCGCCUC
This 283-nucleotide long non-coding RNA is filed under the name Triticum aestivum (bread wheat). RNAcentral describes it as "long non-coding RNA (TAES_LNC012135)". The record is from RNAcentral. Lineage: Eukaryota; Viridiplantae; Streptophyta; Magnoliopsida; Poales; Poaceae.